This is a non-coding RNA of Osmia lignaria (orchard mason bee), 1037 nucleotides long. The record is from RefSeq and is a predicted model, not a curated record. Lineage: Eukaryota; Metazoa; Arthropoda; Insecta; Hymenoptera; Megachilidae.
GUAGAUUACUUGCCCGAUUUAAAUUAAGACACGCGAUCUAGAAACAGAAGUGCAGUUAUUUAUAUUCGUUGCUCGUGUAAACGACUCUGAGAAGACUGGACCUUUUUCAUUAACAAAAGCUCACGUUUCUGGAUUUCUUCAGUAAAAGAGGAGAAAAGGACUGUUUAAAAACACCCAAAUACAGUCGCAAAGUAAUAAUCAAGUCUGAAAGGAUAUAAAAUUCCGUACAAUUCAGACAGUGAAGUUGUAAUUGUUGAAUGUUAUUAACAUAAUUAAUAGCUGUUAUAUAUACUGCAUAUAUUUGACUGGAAAAAUAUUGAUAAGAAAUUCGGAUCUAUGUGACACUAAAGAUUGGCCGCUAAAGGAAUAGAAGAAAAUUCAAGACCAUUUUUCUUAUCAGAACUUGAACUGUAACUGUCUGUCGAUUUUUAUUACAAAUCAUAAGUUUUUACUUAUAUUUAAUCUGAAAACAAUUUGUACAUAUUAGAAGUUGAAAGGUCCUGAAAUUUUUGAAGCAUUUUUAAAUAAUUUACUAAAUACAUAGUAAAAAUAUACGUAACAUUUAUACGUAUGUAAAUGAUAAGCACAGCUCUAAAUACAACGAUUUUUUAUUAAAAUAGUUGAAUUAAUAAUUCGGAGAAACGUGAAAUGAAAAUCAAGAUUGAAGAUUAUUAAGAGACUUAAAGCAUUGUAAUUAAAAGAUAACAAGACAGCUGCCUUAAAGUUCAAACAAGUAAUGAUAUAAGCGAUAAAGGGAGAUGACAUCACUAUACACGACAGUCAAAUAGUAUUGUAUAUUAAAUGGUGUUGUUUGCAAGAAGCCUAGCAAAUAUGUCUGAUAUCAGAAAGGUAGAAAUCUGUAACUUAUAAGAAGUUAAUUCAACGGAAAAUCGUGCAGUGUAAUGACUGAAGUUUCAUGGACUAUACGAGAAGAAAACUUGAGAAAGUUUUCUUGAACGCUGUGAACUACGAUACGGUAUAAAGAGCAUCGGUUUGAUAUCAAAGAGAAAAAGUGGGAAACUAGUAAUAGACAUGAU